UGGGGAAUUUUGGACAAUGGGCGCAAGCCUGAUCCAGCCAUUCCGCGUGCGUGAAGAAGGCCUUUUGGUUGUAAACUGCUUUUGUACAGAACGAAGCUACGUUUUCUAAUACUCAGCGAUAAUGAAGGUUCCUCACAAAUAAACCCCGGCUAACUUCUGGGCCACCGCCCCGGGAAUACCUAAGGGGGCGACGGUUAUCCGAAUUUCUGGGCGUAAAGGGGGGGCAAGGGGGGUUUUUAAACCGAAGGGAAAUCCCCGGACUCUACCUGAGAACUGGCUUUGUGACUGGGUCACUUGAAUGAGGGAAAAGGAGGUGGAAUUCCCCGGGGAACAGUGGAAUGGCUAAAAGAUCUGAGGAACACCCAUGGGGAAAGGCAUCCCCUGGGCCUGCACUGGACCUCAUGCACGAAAGCGUGGGGAGCAAAAAGGAUUAAAUACCCUGGUAGUCCACAUGCCUAUACGAUGUGUCCUGGUUGUUGGGUCUUCUUUGACUCUUUAACGAAGCUAAUGACGGAAUUUGACCACCUGCUGGGUACGACCGCCGGGUUAA
RNAcentral lists this ribosomal RNA (550 nucleotides) under uncultured Burkholderiales bacterium. RNAcentral describes it as "bacterial SSU rRNA". It matches the Rfam family "Bacterial small subunit ribosomal RNA", at positions 355 to 897 of the family's 1533-position model. Lineage: Bacteria; Pseudomonadati; Pseudomonadota; Betaproteobacteria; Burkholderiales. The record is from RNAcentral.